This 83-nucleotide non-coding RNA is filed under the name uncultured Xylanibacillus sp. RNAcentral's name for it is "Cyclic di-GMP-I riboswitch". It matches the Rfam family "c-di-GMP-I riboswitch aptamer". Rfam says of the family: GEMM was predicted in a large-scale screen for bacterial structured RNA regulatory elements. Genes associated with GEMM are involved in a diverse array of functions, including chemotaxis regulation, signal transduction, secretion and chitin. Lineage: Bacteria; Bacillati; Bacillota; Bacilli; Caryophanales; Paenibacillaceae. The record is from RNAcentral.
UAGAAAGGCAAACUUUCUGAAAGGAAAGGACGCAAAGCCGUGGGUCUAAAGACUGAAAAUGUCCAUGACUGCCUGGUUGCCAA